This 466-nucleotide ribosomal RNA is filed under the name uncultured bacterium. RNAcentral describes it as "partial 16S ribosomal RNA". It matches the Rfam family "Bacterial small subunit ribosomal RNA", at positions 28 to 507 of the family's 1533-position model. The record is from RNAcentral.
GAUGAACGCUGGCGGCGUGCUUAACACAUGCAAGUCGAACGAUGAAGCCCAGCUUGCUGGGUGGAUUAGUGGCGAACGGGUGAGUAACACGUGAGUAACCUGCCCUUAACUCUGGGAUAAGCCUGGGAAACUGGGUCUAAUACCGGAUAGGAGCGUCCACCGCAUGGUGGGUGUUGGAAAGAUUUAUCGGUUUUGGAUGGACUCGCGGCCUAUCAGCUUGUUGGUGAGGUAAUGGCUCACCAAGGCGACGACGGGUAGCCGGCCUGAGAGGGUGACCGGCCACACUGGGACUGAGACACGGCCCAGACUCCUACGGGAGGCAGCAGUGGGGAAUAUUGCACAAUGGGCGCAAGCCUGAUGCAGCGACGCCGCGCGAGGGAUGACGGCCUUCGGGUUGUAAACCUCUUUCAGUAGGGAAGAAGCGAAAGUGACGGUACCUGCAGAAGAAGCACCGGCUAACUACGUG